CGUAGGUAACCUGCCUGGUAGCGGGGGGUAACUAUUGGAAACGAUAGCUAAUACCGCAUAAUAGCAGUUAUUGCAUGAUAACUGUUUGAAAGGUGCAAUUGCAUCACUACCAGAUGGACCUGCGUUGUAUUAGCUAGUUGGUGGGGUAACGGCUCACCAAGGCGACGAUACAUAGCCGACCUGAGAGGGUGAUCGGCCACACUGGGACUGAGACACGGCCCAG
Molecule: ribosomal RNA, 223 nt
Filed under: uncultured bacterium
Lineage: Bacteria
Description: partial 16S ribosomal RNA
Rfam family: Bacterial small subunit ribosomal RNA
Source: RNAcentral